This 302-nucleotide ribosomal RNA is filed under the name Candidatus Aveggerthella stercoripullorum. RNAcentral's name for it is "partial 23S ribosomal RNA". It matches the Rfam family "Bacterial large subunit ribosomal RNA", at positions 2614 to 2925 of the family's 2925-position model. Lineage: Bacteria; Bacillati; Actinomycetota; Coriobacteriia; Eggerthellales; Eggerthellaceae. The record is from RNAcentral.
GAACGUCGUGAGACAGUUCGGUCCCUAUCCUCCGCGGGCGCAAGGGAACUGAGGAGAGCUGCCCCUAGUACGAGAGGACCGGGGUGGACGCACCUCCGGUGGCGCGGUUGUCGACCAACGGCACGGCCGCCUGGCCGCGUGCGGCGCGGAUAACCGCUGAAGGCAUCUAAGCGGGAAGCCGCCUCCGAGAUGAGUUCCCUCUCCGGUAAGGGCCCUGGCAGAACACCAGGUCGAUAGGCCGCAGCUGCAAGCGCCGCGAGGCGCUCAGGCGAGCGGCACUAACAGCCCGAGCUCUUCACCCC